Small nuclear RNA from Cavia porcellus (domestic guinea pig), 103 nucleotides. NCBI's taxonomy places the organism in Eukaryota, Metazoa, Chordata, Mammalia, Rodentia, Caviidae. The record is from Ensembl.
UUGCUCUGGUAGCACAUAUACUAAAAUUGGAAUGAUACAGAGGAGAUUCACAUAGCCCCUGCAUAAGCAUGACAUGCAAAUUCAUACAGUGUUUCACAUAAAU